GGCACGGUAGCCAAGUGGUAAGGCAGGAGUCUGCAAAACUCUUAUGCGUCGGUUCAAUUCCGACCCGUGCCUCCA
Molecule: transfer RNA, 75 nt
Filed under: Puniceicoccales bacterium
Lineage: Bacteria; Pseudomonadati; Verrucomicrobiota; Opitutia; Puniceicoccales
Description: tRNA-Cys
Rfam family: tRNA
About the family: Transfer RNA (tRNA) molecules are approximately 80 nucleotides in length.
Source: RNAcentral